Molecule: ribosomal RNA, 515 nt
Filed under: uncultured bacterium
Lineage: Bacteria
Description: bacterial SSU rRNA
Rfam family: Bacterial small subunit ribosomal RNA
Source: RNAcentral
GCGGAGUUGUGAGAGAGCUUGCUCUCGAACAGCUUAGCGGCGGACGGGUGAGUAACACGUAGGCAACCUGCCUGUAAGACUGGGAUAACCCACGGAAACGUGAGCUAAUACCGGAUAUACCAAGCCUUCGCAUGGAGGCUUGGGGAAAGACGGAGUGAUCUGUCACUUACAGAUGGGCCUGCGGCGCAUUAGCUAGUUGGCGGGGUAACGGCCCACCAAGGCGACGAUGCGUAGCCGACCUGAGAGGGUGAACGGCCACACUGGGACUGAGACACGGCCCAGACUCCUACGGGAGGCAGCAGUAGGGAAUCUUCCGCAAUGGACGAAAGUCUGACGGAGCAACGCCGCGUGAGUGAGGAAGGUCUUCGGAUUGUAAAGCUCUGUUGCCAGGGAAGAACAGGUGUAUGUUAACUGCAUGCACUGUGACGGUACCUGAGAAGAAAGCCCCGGCUAACUACGUGCCAGCAGCCGCGGUAAUACGUAGGGGGCAAGCGUUGUCCGGAAUUAUUGGGUGU